CACAAACCCACACCAGGCUGAAGUCCAGGGGACAGGAACUUUAAAAGAAAACAGAAACUCAGUGGAUAAAGAAUGGGAAUAAUCCACAUGAGAGUUGCUCCUUCUGCCUGGGCCUGGGAAUGAGAAGACCUGUGGAGCUGAGCUACUGCUUACCCACAACCUGCAUAUACAUAAAUCAGAAGCCAGCACUGGUUGUUGUGAGUCGCUUAGAUUUUGGGCUUGAUGAAGAUGACCUUAGGCACAGUGACCCUGAAGGCCACAUGUUAAAGACAGUGGAGCCACAGGAUGGAAGGAAGCUGGUUCCCUGAAUCAUCACGUGGCAGAGAGCGGACCACUAAUCAGGAUCAUGUGUUUCAGAUUUCACUUGACCAAUAAAUCAAUUUCAAUUUUGUUACACUG
This 399-nucleotide long non-coding RNA is filed under the name Homo sapiens (human). RNAcentral's name for it is "HSALNT0368352". The record is from RNAcentral. Lineage: Eukaryota; Metazoa; Chordata; Mammalia; Primates; Hominidae.